UACAGAGGUCUCAAGCGUUGUUCGGAUUCAUUGGGCGUAAAGGGUGCGUAGGUGGCGGGGUAAGUCAGGUGUGAAAUCUCGGGGCUCAACCCCGAAACUGCACUUGAUACUGCCUUGCUCGAGUACUGGAGAGGAGAUUGGAAUUUACGGUGUAGCAGUGAAAUGCGUAGAUAUCGGGAGGAACACCAGUGGCGAAGGCGGCUACCUGGCCCACUCUUGACGCUGAGGCGCGAAAGCUAGGGGAGCAAACGGG
Molecule: ribosomal RNA, 253 nt
Filed under: uncultured bacterium
Lineage: Bacteria
Description: partial 16S ribosomal RNA
Rfam family: Bacterial small subunit ribosomal RNA
Source: RNAcentral